GCCUUCGGGAACUCUGAGACAGGUGCUGCAUGGCUGUCGUCAGCUCGUGUUGUGAAAUGUUGGGUUAAGUCCCGCAACGAGCGCAACCCUUAUCCUUUGUUGCCAGCGGUUAGGCCGGGAACUCAAAGGAGACUGCCAGUGAUAAACUGGAGGAAGGUGGGGAUGACGUCAAGUCAUCAUGGCCCUUACGAGUAGGGCUACACACGUGCUACAAUGGCAUAUA
This 223-nucleotide ribosomal RNA is filed under the name Citrobacter freundii. RNAcentral describes it as "partial 16S ribosomal RNA". It matches the Rfam family "Bacterial small subunit ribosomal RNA", at positions 1016 to 1239 of the family's 1533-position model. Lineage: Bacteria; Pseudomonadati; Pseudomonadota; Gammaproteobacteria; Enterobacterales; Enterobacteriaceae. The record is from RNAcentral. RNAcentral also lists the same sequence under 1 other name.